Molecule: long non-coding RNA, 1396 nt
Filed under: Anser cygnoides (Swan goose)
Lineage: Eukaryota; Metazoa; Chordata; Aves; Anseriformes; Anatidae
Description: lncRNA (ENSACDG00005004118.1)
Source: RNAcentral
GUCCAAAUUGAGAGUGUGUGAAAGCCUGAAGACGGAUCGGUAAAGAAGAUAAUGUAGGCUCAGGUUCUCUCCAACAAAGAGGAAAUUUGAAAAUGGUUUUCCUUGAUGUCAGGCUACUGAGUGGAAGUUAUUUCCCUGGGGACGAAGACAGUGAAGGAAUGCAAGGCUCAUCAUUUCUCUUCUUUCCAGAAAGACCACAUGAGAAUGAGAUGAGCAGAUGACCAUCCCUACACAUAGGGGUGAGCUAAAAACCACCAUUACCUCUAUCACAGAAUUACAGAGUCACAGAGUCACAGAGUCACAGAAUCAAAGAAUGGUUGAGAUUGGAAGAGAACUCUGGAGGUCAACACCCCUUUUUAGGCAAGACCACCUACAGCAGGUGCUCAGGACCAUGUCCAGAAGGCUCUUGAAGAUCUCCAAGGAGACUUCACAACCUCUCUGGGCAACCUGUGCCAGUGCUUCGUCACCCACAUAAUAAAGAAGUGCUUCCUGAUGUUGAGACAGAAUCUCCAGUGUUCCAGUUUGUGCCCAUUGCCUCUGGUCCUGGCAUCAGGCACCACUGAAAAGAAAAGAAUCUGGCUCCAUCUUCUUUGCACCUUCUCUUCAGAUAUUUGUACACAUUGAUGAGAUCUUCCCGAGAUGCCUCUUUUCCAGGUUAAGAGCACUACUGCUUCUUAGGCCACUAAAAGAGUACAACAAACAAUCCAGUCUUUGUGAAACCAGAAAAGCAGGUAAAAUAUUUUAAUUUUUGAAACAAAUAUAUAUGGUUUAUAAAGAAACACUGAGUGGUGACCCUUGUACUGAAGUUAGUCUUUUAUUUCCCACACCUAUGUUAUAGGAAACACUUCAGAAAUGGAAGGACGAGCAUUUCAAAGUUUGAGUUCUGUUUAAGAAGUAGUUUUGUGGAUUGGGGGUGGCCUUUCUUAUUUCCAUUUUCUUCCUCUAUUGGAGAGUUACUCAUUGUUCUUAUCUGUGAAGUCAAUUAGAAGAAUUGCUAGACAGAGGUGUUAGAAAGAUUCAUGGAAUCUCUCUCUACUACAAAGCAGGUUAAAAGCAAAUCCAGAUAAAACAUUUCAUGCUCAUUUUGGCUGAGGUUAUUUUUGAUCAGAUCUGUGUCUCUAGGACAAAAAAUGAAGUUAUAAUUUAAUAGACUUUGUCAGGAAAAAAAGACUGUUUUGGUCAAGUAUUCUGAUUUCCUACAUAGGAAUUUUACAGUGUUACCCAGCAGCUCCUACAUCAGCUUGGUUUUUCUUUCUUGGUUGGUCCAGAGCAUUUAUUUAAGAAUCAUAAUUUUAAGAUGAUGGAGAAUUAGGCUGCUGAAGUUAUAUUAGCAUCUAUACCAGAUGAAAUGUGCAGUUAAAAUAAAGAUCCCCACGCUGAAAUGGUCUGUAAAACC